This is a long non-coding RNA of Mya arenaria, 2940 nucleotides long. RefSeq lists it as uncharacterized. The record is from RefSeq and is a predicted model, not a curated record. Lineage: Eukaryota; Metazoa; Mollusca; Bivalvia; Myida; Myidae. The transcript is spliced from 4 exons.
CCGAUUUCGGAUAUUUUAAGAAUUGUAUUGAUUGUCAAUGACUUUACAAGGAUAACUUGACGUCUCCUGCAUCGUGAGAAAUAAGCCAUAGAAUACAUUCAUACCACUCAAAUUCAGCCAGUCAGAAUGAUGGGAAGGAUUGCAGAACUGAGUUUCACUCUCACCUGACUGAUGCAGAUUCAGUAACCUAAUUGCUCAUAAUGGUUUCUGAGAAAAAAACCCAGCUUGGUGUAAUUUGACAGUAUUUUUCAGUAUUUGACAGUGGUUCUAUCAUGCAACAAUCAUACCAUGAAGUGUCUCACAUAUUCUCUCUCAAUUCCAGCAAUAUCCAAGAUUACAGUGUAGUGAAAAGAGGAUUAAUUUUCUUGCAAUAAGAAGUAUCUGCACUUCCAAAUACCCCGGUACAGCAUGAACAGUUCCUUCGUUUUUUGAGUGAUUAUAGAGUGAAAAUGUUUCCAUAUAAAAUGUUGUCUUUUUAUGUGUAAAACUUGUUAUGAAUGGUUACAAAUACAUGCCUAGACAUUUUGAUUCCAAAUCUAUGAACAUUUUGAUUCCAAUAAUUAACCACAAAAGUAUUUUAAAUUUGGUUUGAAACAGAAAUAUUGUCCUUUUGUCUGUUUCUAAACAGUAACUGGUAUUAUUCAUGUUUAUAGUUUCCAUGUCAAUUUAAAAAAAAAGUCAGUUCUAUUAAAGAUGCACUCUUACUCCCACAUAAGAUUUACCACAAUUAAUACUUUUGUUUUAUUAUUCCAAAAAGGAUGAAUAAAUGUUGAAAACAAUGGUUCUAAUGAAGGAUACCUAUUUUUACUUGAAGGAAAUGUGCAUAAAAGACAGUAUUUCUACCAUUUGAGAUCAUAGUAGAUCACAGUAAAUGUUUAUGCAUUCACCAAUCAUUUAAUAUGUUUGAGUUUUCAGCUUAGAUACACGGUUACAAUAUAUUAAUCAAUACUUAAUAUUUUCCUUUUUUUUUUUGAAAAAUGAAUUAUUAAGUACCCGGUAAGUUGUUAAAUGGUUAACAGUCAAAGUAUAUGUUUGUUAUACAUGUGUAUGCGAUAUUGAAUAAGAGUGUCACUUUUAACAGUUGCCAUGGUAACUAGAGUCUAGUUUUCUUAGAAAACUGUAAUUGUUAACUAAAAACCUUAGUAUUUUCAAUGUGAUACUUUUUAGCAUGUCCGCUUCAGUCAAUGAAAUAUUUUUGUUAUUUGUUAUUCAUUUUGUCAUACUUUGUAUACAAUUAUAUUUAUAAUUUAACCUUGAAAAUUGCUGACAAUCUCAUACUUCUAUUGGAAUAUUCAGAUUUGCUAGAUGGGUUGAAGUUCACCUUUAUUACAAUUGUCAGGCAAAUCAUUGCAAGAUAUAUACAUAAUUCUCCUUUUUAACAAAAAGCGAUGUUUAAAGCAUUUUUUGUAUUUUUAUUGAAUGGUUACCAUGGCAACUAAUUUUUUGUUUGCCUUUAAUCUUCAUAUUUAUAAUACUAUUCAUUGUAAAAAUGCAACAGUCAAGCAGUGAAUGGAAGAAUGUAAAUGUUCUUUGUUUUUUACCUUUUUCAAGCUCAUUCUUUAAAAUAUACAGCAUUCUUAAAAUUUCUUAAAAAUGGACGUUUUUCCAUCAUUUUUUUUUAAAGUGAAAUAUUUUGCUUAAAACAUUGUUUAAGUUCUGAUAUUUAGGAAUGUGUAUUAAAUUUAUAGAAAAUAAACAAAAUGUGUUGUUUGACAUUAUUUAUUUCAUUUAAAUUCCGAAGUUUUGAAUUUUACCUAUUUUGUCAGAAAAAAUGAUAAAAAUGUAAAAUUAAAAGGGCCAUAAUUCUGUCAAAAAUUGAUGUAUUUUAAAAAUAUGUGCAUAUUUGAGUUUGUAAUGACGUAACCUUUAAAAUGAUAUAUCACUUUAAUAUACCGCAUGAAAUUAUUUUUUUACGUUGUUAUUGCUACCUUAGAUACUUGGUAUCAUUUAAAUGCCAAUAACUUAAAACGCAUUGUAUAUUGAGAACACAUUAUUUGUGGCAGACUUUGAAAAUGAUUGGAAAUAGCAUUUUCAUUAGUAACCAUAGCAACCGAUUUUUGCUUGACCUUUGUGGCCAAUUUCUAUGUCAUUAUAGACAUUAGCAAUGUGUACUUGCUAUUUCAAUGUUGAAGUUUAUGUAACACUAGUAAAGAUAAGUGAUAUAUUUAAACAGGUAUCUUGACAUAUAUAUAAUAUUUAAAAUAAGAACAGUUUUGUUCACAUUGUUUUUUAUCCCUGUGUUUCAUAAUGAUUCAUAUGUUUUAUAACUUUUGUGAAAUUUAACAUGAAACUUUAAGAGUUAAUUUCUGUAAAUACUUAGUAUCAUACAGAUGUCAAUAACUUAUAAAUAAAAAAAAAUAUGCGGACUUUCAAAAAUGAUUGGUAAUAGCAUUUUCAUAAGUAACCAUAGCAACUGAAUUUUGCUUUGACCUUUGUUGUAAGUUUCUUUAUCAUUAUGGACAUUAGCAAUGUGUACUUGUUAUUUUCCAUUUGUAGUGUAUGUGAUACAAGUAAAGAUAGUUUUAUAUUUUAAUAUUUUGACUUGUAUACUUCAUUCAAAAUAAGAACAGAUUUAGUGAAUAUUUCGUUCAAAUUGUGUUAAAACCCUCUGUUACAAAAUGUUCCAUAUCCAUUGUUUUGAUUUUUAAUAUUUGACUUACAACUUCAGAUUUUAUUUCUGCAAUUGCUUGGUAUCAUAACAAUGUCAAUAACUUAUAACACAACUUUAUGAAAAACAUUAUUUUUUAAGAAACAUUUAGAAAAUGAGUGAAAAUGGCAUUAUCAAUAGUUACCAUAGCAACCAAAUGCAGUUAUGAACUUUUCGUUAACUUUAGUAAUCAAACUAUGAGUGCUUAUUGUUUCUAUGUUAACACUUAUAUGUUACAUUUAAAUAGUCCUUGACAUGAUACUUAUCUGACAUGGAUAUUUCAUUCUAAAUAA